AUCGCUUCUCGGCCUUUUGGCUAAGAUCAAGUGUAAAGGAUGUUAGCAUUUUAGUAUAUGUUACUGGGCUAACCAGGUACCACCAUUGUACACUAAACAGGAACGGCUUAUUUUCAUCUUGAUGGGCCAGAUUAA
Molecule: small nuclear RNA, 135 nt
Organism: Dipodomys ordii (Ord's kangaroo rat)
Lineage: Eukaryota; Metazoa; Chordata; Mammalia; Rodentia; Heteromyidae
Gene: U2
Rfam family: U2 spliceosomal RNA
About the family: U2 is a small nuclear RNA (snRNA) component of the spliceosome (involved in pre-mRNA splicing). Complementary binding between U2 snRNA (in an area lying towards the 5' end but 3' to hairpin I) and the branchpoint sequence (BPS) of the intron results the bulging out of an unpaired adenosine, on the BPS, which initiates a nucleophilic attack at the intronic 5' splice site, thus starting the first of two transesterification reactions that mediate splicing.
Source: Ensembl